This 482-nucleotide ribosomal RNA is filed under the name Clostridium botulinum. RNAcentral's name for it is "partial 23S ribosomal RNA". It matches the Rfam family "Bacterial large subunit ribosomal RNA", at positions 798 to 1280 of the family's 2925-position model. Lineage: Bacteria; Bacillati; Bacillota; Clostridia; Eubacteriales; Clostridiaceae. The record is from RNAcentral.
CAUGGGAUGAGCUGUGGAUAGCGGAGAAAUUCCAAUCGAACUCGGAGAUAGCUGGUUCUCCUCGAAAUAGCUUUAGGGCUAGCGUCGUGUAAUUGAGUAAUGGAGGUAGAGCACUGAAUGGGCUAGGGGCUAUAGUAGUUACCGAACCCUAUCAAACUCCGAAUGCCAUAUACUUGUAUCACGGCAGUCAGACUGCGAAUGAUAAGAUCCGUAGUCAAAAGGGAAACAGCCCAGACCAUCAGCUAAGGUCCCAAAGUGUAAGUUAAGUGGAAAAGGAUGUGGGAUUUCUAAGACAACUAGGAUGUUGGCUUAGAAGCAGCCACUCAUUUAAAGAGUGCGUAAUAGCUCACUAGUCAAGAGAUCCUGCGCCGAAGAUGUCCGGGGCUCAAACUUACCACCGAAGCUAUGGGUGUACACUAUGUGUACGCGGUAGAGGAGCUUUCUGUAUGGGUUGAAGUCGUACCGUAAGGAGCGGUGGACUG